GCUGGGCACAGUGGUGCAUGCCUGUAAUCCUAAUGGCUAGGGAGGCUGAGGCAGGAGGAUUGUGAGUUCAAAGCCAGCCUCAGCAAAAGGGAGGUGCUAAGCAACUCAGUAAAAUCCUGUCUUUA
This 125-nucleotide small RNA is filed under the name Marmota monax (woodchuck). Lineage: Eukaryota; Metazoa; Chordata; Mammalia; Rodentia; Sciuridae. The record is from RNAcentral.